This is a small nuclear RNA of Myodes glareolus (Bank vole), 107 nucleotides long. Lineage: Eukaryota; Metazoa; Chordata; Mammalia; Rodentia; Cricetidae. The record is from RefSeq and is a predicted model, not a curated record.
GUGCGCACUUUGGCAGCACAUAUACUGGAGCUGGGGUGAUACAGAGAAGAUUAGCAUGGCCCCUGUGCCAGGAUGACACGCAAAUUUGUGAAGCAUUAAAAAUAAAA